GCCUCGCUAGCUCAAUGGUAGAGCAACGCUCUUGUAAGGCGAUGGUUGCGGGUUCAAUUCCUGCGCGAGGCUCCA
This 75-nucleotide transfer RNA is filed under the name Chloroflexaceae bacterium. Its description in RNAcentral is "tRNA-Thr". It matches the Rfam family "tRNA". Rfam says of the family: Transfer RNA (tRNA) molecules are approximately 80 nucleotides in length. Their secondary structure includes four short double-helical elements and three loops (D, anti-codon, and T loops). Further hydrogen bonds mediate the characteristic L-shaped molecular structure. tRNAs have two regions of fundamental functional importance: the anti-codon, which is responsible for specific mRNA codon recognition, and the 3' end, to which the tRNAs corresponding amino acid is attached (by aminoacyl-tRNA synthetases). tRNAs cope with the degeneracy of the genetic code in two manners: having more than one tRNA (with a specific anti-codon) for a particular amino acid; and 'wobble' base-pairing, i.e. permitting non-standard base-pairing at the 3rd anti-codon position. The record is from RNAcentral. Lineage: Bacteria; Bacillati; Chloroflexota; Chloroflexia; Chloroflexales; Chloroflexaceae.